UACGUAGGUGGCAAGCGUUGUCCGGAUUUAUUGGGCGUAAAGAGCGUGUAGGCGGCCAGGUAGGUCCGUUGUGAAAACUCGAGGCUCAACCUCGAGAUGUCGGCGGAAACCAUCUGGCUAGAGUCCGGAAGAGGAGAGUGGAAUUCCUGGUGUAGCGGUGAAAUGCGCAGAGAUCGGGAGGAACACCCGUAGCGAAGGCGGCACUCUGGGCCGGUACUGACGCUGAGGAGCGAAAGCGUGGGGAGCAAACAGG
Molecule: ribosomal RNA, 253 nt
Filed under: uncultured bacterium
Lineage: Bacteria
Description: partial 16S ribosomal RNA
Rfam family: Bacterial small subunit ribosomal RNA
Source: RNAcentral